RNAcentral lists this small RNA (1518 nucleotides) under uncultured Arctic sea ice bacterium. RNAcentral describes it as "bacterial SSU rRNA". The stretch from base 1 to 994 matches the Rfam family "Bacterial small subunit ribosomal RNA", at positions 528 to 1533 of the family's 1533-position model. The record is from RNAcentral.
AAGGGACCUAGCGUAGUUCGGAAUUACUGGGCUUAAAGAGUUCGUAGGUGGUUGAAAAAGUUGGUGGUGAAAUCCCAGAGCUUAACUCUGGAACUGCCAUCAAAACUUUUCAGCUAGAGUAUGAUAGAGGAAAGCAGAAUUUCUAGUGUAGAGGUGAAAUUCGUAGAUAUUAGAAAGAAUACCAAUUGCGAAGGCAGCUUUCUGGAUCAUUACUGACACUGAGGAACGAAAGCAUGGGUAGCGAAGAGGAUUAGAUACCCUCGUAGUCCAUGCCGUAAACGAUGUGUGUUAGACGUUGGAAAUUUAUUUUCAGUGUCGCAGGGAAACCGAUAAACACACCGCCUGGGGAGUACGACCGCAAGGUUAAAACUCAAAUGAAUUGACGGGGACCCGCACAAGUAGUGGAGCAUGUGGUUUAAUUCGAAGAUACGCGCAGAACCUUACCAACACUUGACAUGUUCGUCGCGACUCUAAGAGAUUAGAGUUUUCGGUUCGGCCGGACGAAACACAGGUGCUGCAUGGCUGUCGUCAGCUCGUGUCGUGAGAUGUUGGGUUAAGUCCCGCAACGAGCGCAACCCUCACUUUUAGUUGCCAUCAUUAAGUUGGGCACUCUGAAAGAACUGCCAGUGAUAAGCUGGAGGAAGGUGGGGAUGACGUCAAGUCCUCAUGGCCCUUAUGUGUUGGGCUACACACGUGCUACAAUGGCAUCUACAACAGGAAGCAAAACGGCAACGUUAAGCAAAUCCCGAAAAGAUGCCUCAGUUCGGAUUGCACUCUGCAACUCGAGUGCAUGAAGCUGGAAUUACUAGUAAUCGUGGAUCAGCGUGCCACGGUGAAUGCGUUCCCGGGUCUUGUACACACCGCCCGUCACACCAUGGGAGUUGGUUCUACCUUAAGGCAAGGUUUCAAACCCUUGACCACGGUAUAGUCAGCGACUGGGGUGAAGUCGUAACAAGGUAGCCGUGGGGGAACCUGCGGCUGGAUUACCUCCUUUCUAAGGAUGAGUGAAAGUAAAAUUUCACUCUAAAUAAUAUACAUCGGUAAUGUUGACCGUCCUCAUUUCUCUUCUUAAAGUAAUGUUUCCUUCUUGUAGGGCCGGUAGCUCAGUUGGUUAGAGCACACCCUUGAUAAGGGUGGGGUCGAAAGUUCGAGUCUUUCUCGGCCCACCAAUAACUCAAUGGGGGAUUAGCUCAUCUGGGAGAGCGCCUGAUUUGCAUUCAGGAGGUAGCAGGUUCGAUCCCUGUAUCCUCCACCAGGAAACAUUUAGUUAUUAAAACUGUAAAUAAAAAUAAUUUAUAUCAAUAUCUAUAUCCGAACAUUAAAAGUUAUUAUUUAAUGUUCAAAAUAAAAAUUUGAUCACAACACAAAUUAAAAUUUCUUUAAAAAGAAUUUUUUUCUGUGCAUAAAUCAAGCGUUUAAGGGCGUGUAGUGGAUGCCUUGGCACUGAAAGCCGAUGAAGGACGUGAUAUACUGCGAUAAGUUUCGGGGAGCUGUAUGUAAGCUUUGAUCCGAAAAUUU